RNAcentral lists this ribosomal RNA (414 nucleotides) under Xenosyllis moloch. RNAcentral's name for it is "partial 16S large subunit ribosomal RNA". It matches the Rfam family "Bacterial large subunit ribosomal RNA", at positions 1948 to 2606 of the family's 2925-position model. Lineage: Eukaryota; Metazoa; Annelida; Polychaeta; Phyllodocida; Syllidae. The record is from RNAcentral.
GUGCUAAGGUAGCACAAUAAAUAGCCUCCUAAUUAGAGGAUAGAAUGAAUGAACUAACGUGAAAUAACCUGUCUCUACUAUAGCCACAAAAUUUUAUCUCCGAGUGAAAAAGCUCAGAUAUACCAAAAAGACAAAAAGUCCCUAAAAGCUUCUAAUCAAGUAAUUAUAAAAUUAUAACAUUUUUAGCUGGGAGGGCAUUAAGUAAAUAAAACACUUAAAACAAUAAGGAUUUUAAAUCUCUCAAUUUAACUCAACAACAAAUAUAAGUAAGUUACUUUAGGGGUAACAGGCUAAUAUUCCUCAAGAGUUCACAUUGACAGGAAUGUUUGGCACCUCGAUGUUGGCUUAGGAAACCUUAUUUAUGCAGAAGUAAAUAAAGGGGGUUUGUUCAACCCAUAACCUCCUACGUGAUCU